CUCCUUCGACAAGGAAAAAUUUUUCUCGGUAAAAUUGGUAAAAUCUAUUAGUCGCCACUGUUCUGAGCUCACAUAUCUACAUCUUGUUCUGAAAGAUCCGGAAGAAGGUUAUUUAGAGUCACUGGUGCAACUAACUAAGCUGAAGCAUCUUUCAUUAGAAGGAAUAGCGGAAAGAAAAAUGUUUCGUGGAGCUUUCAAACUACUCGAAUCAGUUGCAUUGGACGUGGUUCCACCUCGAGUUCUGCUAGAGAACCUUUCUGAAGUUGCGCCACGGUUGAAUUAUUUGAAACUCGAUAAGUGCGUCGACAGUUUGGAGGUACAAUUCAUCUGCGAGAGGUUUUCUUGUCUCCAACACUUAAAAGUAAACAUGGAAAAAGUGAUUGCAGCCGACAGUUCUAUACGAUUCGAUAGAUUGGCCCACUUGCAGGAACUCAAAUUGUUUGGGCUUAGCAACAUUCAUUACAUUCAUCGCAACAACGUUCGUUGCUUGACAAUGCG
This is a long non-coding RNA of Anopheles cruzii, 498 nucleotides long. RefSeq lists it as uncharacterized. The record is from RefSeq and is a predicted model, not a curated record. NCBI's taxonomy places the organism in Eukaryota, Metazoa, Arthropoda, Insecta, Diptera, Culicidae. The transcript has 3 exons.